RNAcentral lists this ribosomal RNA (253 nucleotides) under uncultured bacterium. Its description in RNAcentral is "partial 16S ribosomal RNA". It matches the Rfam family "Bacterial small subunit ribosomal RNA", at positions 524 to 776 of the family's 1533-position model. The record is from RNAcentral.
UACGUAGGUGGCAAGCGUUGUCCGGAUUUACUGGGCGUAAAGAGCGCGCAGGCGGUCGUUCAAGUCGCGUGUGAAAGCCCCCGGCUCAACUGGGGAGGGUCACGCGAUACUGAUCGACUCGAAGGCAGGAGAGGGUAGUGGAAUUCCCGGUGUAGUGGUGAAAUGCGUAGAUAUCUGGAGGAAUACCGGUGGCGAAGGCGGCAUCCUGGACCGACAUUGACGCUGAUGAGCGAAAGCUAGGGGAGCAAACGGG